AAGUCGUAACAAGGUUUCCGUAGGUGAACCUGCGGAAGGAUCAUUAACAAAUCCAGCUCUGUACAGGAGCGAAAAAAACUUGUGAUGCAAUCGUGUGAAUAGGAUCAUCAAUUGUGAAGAUACUCCACCGGUGCUACACAAAGUUUUUUCCUGUGCACUUGCGAAAGCUGUGUCUUUAGGGAUUCAUUUCUCUAUCGACGCGUAACAAACAAGUAACCUGGGGUACUUUAAGGUAGAGCGCUUAAUUGUGCUUUGUCUUAGAGCCCUUCUAAUAAUCCCUUUUUUUACCAUUUUACCCCUUAUAAACUAUAAGACUGAUAUGACAUGAUAAAUGUCGAAUACAAAAACUAUAAAACAACUCUUAACAAUGGAUAUCUAGGCUCUG
RNAcentral lists this unclassified non-coding RNA (385 nucleotides) under fungal sp. Its description in RNAcentral is "partial internal transcribed spacer region". The stretch from base 1 to 46 matches the Rfam family "Eukaryotic small subunit ribosomal RNA", at positions 1786 to 1831 of the family's 1831-position model. RNAcentral also lists the same sequence under 1 other name. Lineage: Eukaryota; Fungi. The record is from RNAcentral.